RNAcentral lists this ribosomal RNA (274 nucleotides) under uncultured bacterium. RNAcentral's name for it is "partial 16S ribosomal RNA". It matches the Rfam family "Bacterial small subunit ribosomal RNA", at positions 523 to 796 of the family's 1533-position model. The record is from RNAcentral.
AUACGGAGGGGGUUAGCGUUGUUCGGAAUUACUGGGCGUAAAGCGUACGUAGGAGGACUGGAAAGUUGGGGGUGAAAUCCCGGGGCUCAACCCCGGAACUGCCUCCAAAACUUCCAAUCUAGAGAUCGAGAGAGGUGAGUGGAAUUCCAAGUGUAGAGGUGAAAUUCGUAGAUAUUUGGAGGAACACCAGUGGCGAAGGCGGCUCACUGGCUCGAUACUGACGCUGAGGUACGAAAGCGUGGGGAGCAAACAGGAUUAGAUACCCCAGUAGUCC